RNAcentral lists this ribosomal RNA (815 nucleotides) under Enterobacter cancerogenus. RNAcentral's name for it is "partial 23S ribosomal RNA". It matches the Rfam family "Bacterial large subunit ribosomal RNA", at positions 395 to 1212 of the family's 2925-position model. Lineage: Bacteria; Pseudomonadati; Pseudomonadota; Gammaproteobacteria; Enterobacterales; Enterobacteriaceae. RNAcentral also lists the same sequence under 10 other names. The record is from RNAcentral.
UGCUGUGAACUCGAAGAGUAGGGCGGGACACGUGGUAUCCUGUCUGAAUAUGGGGGGACCAUCCUCCAAGGCUAAAUACUCCUGACUGACCGAUAGUGAACCAGUACCGUGAGGGAAAGGCGAAAAGAACCCCGGCGAGGGGAGUGAAAAAGAACCUGAAACCGUGUACGUACAAGCAGUGGGAGCCUCUUUAUGGGGUGACUGCGUACCUUUUGUAUAAUGGGUCAGCGACUUAUAUUCUGUAGCAAGGUUAACCGUAUAGGGGAGCCGAAGGGAAACCGAGUCUUAACUGGGCGUUAAGUUGCAGGGUAUAGACCCGAAACCCGGUGAUCUAGCCAUGGGCAGGUUGAAGGUUGGGUAACACUAACUGGAGGACCGAACCGACUAAUGUUGAAAAAUUAGCGGAUGACCUGUGGCUGGGGGUGAAAGGCCAAUCAAACCGGGAGAUAGCUGGUUCUCCCCGAAAGCUAUUUAGGUAGCGCCUCGUGAACUCAUCUUCGGGGGUAGAGCACUGUUUCGGCUAGGGGGCCAUCCCGGCUUACCAACCCGAUGCAAACUACGAAUACCGAAGAAUGUUAUCACGGGAGACACACGGCGGGUGCUAACGUCCGUCGUGAAGAGGGAAACAACCCAGACCGCCAGCUAAGGUCCCAAAGUCAUGGUUAAGUGGGAAACGAUGUGGGAAGGCACAGACAGCCAGGAUGUUGGCUUAGAAGCAGCCAUCAUUUAAAGAAAGCGUAAUAGCUCACUGGUCGAGUCGGCCUGCGCGGAAGAUGUAACGGGGCUAAACCAUGCACCGAAGCUGCGGCAGCGAC